UGAGCAAUCCGCCCUUCUCUUCGGAAUAAGCGUUGGAAACGACGUCUAAUGCCGAAUACGACCUCCUUUCGCAUGAUCGGAGGUGGAAAGCUCCGGCGGAGAAGGAUGAGCUCGCGGCCUAUCAGCUAGUUGGUGUGGGUAAUGGCCCACAAGGCGACGACGGGUAGCCGGCCUGAGAGGGUGACCGGCCACACUGGGACUGAGACACGGCCCAGACCUCCGUACGGGGAGGCCGAG
RNAcentral lists this ribosomal RNA (237 nucleotides) under uncultured bacterium. RNAcentral describes it as "partial 16S ribosomal RNA". It matches the Rfam family "Bacterial small subunit ribosomal RNA", at positions 118 to 351 of the family's 1533-position model. The record is from RNAcentral.